Mesocricetus auratus (golden hamster) is the source of this 45-nucleotide non-coding RNA. NCBI's taxonomy places the organism in Eukaryota, Metazoa, Chordata, Mammalia, Rodentia, Cricetidae. The record is from Rfam.
CCAAAGGCUCUUUUCAGAGCCACCAUGUUGUCAUUUAAGAGUUGU